This is a long non-coding RNA of Alligator sinensis (Chinese alligator), 594 nucleotides long. RefSeq lists it as uncharacterized. The record is from RefSeq and is a predicted model, not a curated record. Lineage: Eukaryota; Metazoa; Chordata; Crocodylia; Alligatoridae. The transcript has 3 exons.
GGUUGCCCGAGACCCCAGAGAAAGAUGGCCCCUAAAAUGCGGAGCUGAGACCCAGAGAGAUGUGGACAAGGGACCGUACAGCUGCCAGAUCAGUAAAGACGCUCAAUACCUGCAACGGAACUCCAGCUGCCGUGAACUAUCCUUUGUCUCCUGGCUGAGAAUUUGCUGUUUCCAAUUAGUUAUUAUCAAGGCAUUGAGGAGAUGCUGUGAUGCUAGUGCACAAACCUUUCACCUCUGAAUCUAGCCGUAAGCCACAAAUGAAUAUGGAUUUUCAGAGAUUGCUACUACAAGGUGCAGAGGGAGACCAAUUCGGGGCAAGAAGCUCGUUCCUGUUGCUAAGAAGAGCUUGAAUGAUAGAAUUAUUGUGUGCUGUAUCCUGGUUGUUUAGAGAUCUUCAUUUCUAAUAAAAAUAAUAGCCAAUAUUUAGUGAUUCACAUGUUCAAGACUCCUCUUGCAAACAUUAACUAAGAACAAUUGCAAAAAAUUGUCUGCAGCAUGAUUUUCAAGAUUCAAAGAUAUGAUUAAUUACAUGAUGUGUGUAUUCCUAAAAUAAAUAACUGAGUUCACAGUUGGUCUGCUCCCAGUGCAAUUAUU